UNGCAAGAUGAUACACCCAAGCCUUGAUGA
RNAcentral lists this non-coding RNA (30 nucleotides) under Mus musculus (house mouse). Lineage: Eukaryota; Metazoa; Chordata; Mammalia; Rodentia; Muridae. The record is from RNAcentral.